Molecule: small nucleolar RNA, 126 nt
Organism: Megalops cyprinoides (Indo-Pacific tarpon)
Lineage: Eukaryota; Metazoa; Chordata; Actinopteri; Elopiformes; Megalopidae
Product: small nucleolar RNA ACA64
Exons: 1
Source: RefSeq, a predicted model, not a curated record
GCAGUCUGAAAAUUACCCCUGAUGUGUCGGUUGUCCAGGGUAAGAUAACUGUGCCUACAGGAAAGUGGUGUAUAAAGCUUAUUGUCUGCUUUAUAGCAGUGCAAUGAAACCCAUGCACCCACAGUU